ACGGGUGCGGAACACGUACAGAACCUUCCUUCGAGCGGGGAAUAGCCCAGAGAAAUUUGGAUUAAUACCCCAUAGUAUUACGGAGUGGCAUCACUUUGUAAUUAAAGAUUUAUCACUUGAAGAUGGCUGUGCGGCUGAUUAGAUAGUUGGUGAGGUAACGGCUCACCAAGUCUACGAUCAGUAACUGGUGUGAGAGCACGACCAGUCACACGGGCACUGAGACACGGGCCCGACUCCUACGGGAGGCAGCAGUAAGGAAUAUUGGUCAAUGGACGAAAGUCUGAACCAGCCACGCCGCGUGGAGGAUGAAGGCCCUCUGGGUUGUAAACUUCUUUUAUUUGGGACGAAAAAGUGCCUUUCUAGGUCAACUGACGGUACCAAGUGAAUAAGCACCGGCUAACUCCGUGCCAGCAGCCGCGGUAAUACGGAGGGUGCAAGCGUUAUCCGGAUUCACUGGGUUUAAAGGGUGCGUAGGUGGGUUGGUAAGUCAGUGGUGAAAUCUCCGAGCUUAACUUGGAAACUGCCAUUGAUACUAUCAGUCUUGAAUAUUGUGGAGGUCAGCGGAAUAUGUCAUGUAG
This 578-nucleotide ribosomal RNA is filed under the name uncultured bacterium. RNAcentral describes it as "bacterial SSU rRNA". It matches the Rfam family "Bacterial small subunit ribosomal RNA", at positions 102 to 678 of the family's 1533-position model. The record is from RNAcentral.